GAUGAACGCUAGCGACAGGCUUAACACAUGCAAGUCGAGGGGCAGCGGGGGAGUAGCAAUACUCCCGCCGGCGACCGGCGCACGGGUGAGUAACACGUAUGAAACCUGCCCGUAGCAGGGGGAUAAGCGGAAGAAAUUCCGUCUAAUACCGCGUAACAACCCUUGGAGGCAUCUCCCCGGGGUUUAAAGGAAGCGAUUCCGGCUACGGAUGGUCAUGCGUCGCAUUAGCUAGUUGGCGGGGUAACGGCCCACCAAGGCGACGAUCAGUAGCCGGCCUGAGAGGGUGAACGGCCACAUUGGGACUGAGACACGGCCCAA
RNAcentral lists this ribosomal RNA (318 nucleotides) under uncultured bacterium. RNAcentral's name for it is "bacterial SSU rRNA". It matches the Rfam family "Bacterial small subunit ribosomal RNA", at positions 28 to 334 of the family's 1533-position model. The record is from RNAcentral.